CACUUAGCCAGUUAGCUCUCCGACUCUGAUGGAUAGCAUGGAUAGCAUAUACAGUAUCUUCCGUAGGGGCACAGUCCUUCGGCUUAUUGGACCAACAGACAAUGAAGGAUUCUGACAGCUGGGUGACUUCUUCAAGCCCCAAGAUCAGAUUGAAGUUGGUGAAGAUGGCUUUAAGCAGUACGAUGUCAUCACUGCUCUGGACAUGGACGCCAUGAUGAGUAGGAUCUACGCGUGGCUGGAGAACCCGGUGAAGUUUGAGAAGUCUCAUGGCGUUAAUAACACCCUGGACACAGAGAUGGUCCCGAAGUCCGAUCACAAGGAGGAGGAGGAGCCUCACAUCCUCAUUGUGGAGGGCUUCCUGCUUCACACCUACAGGAUUUGAUGGACGUGCUAAACUAACGUUACUUUAUUUCCAUCCCAUAUGAAGAAUGCAAAAAGAGGAGGUGCUCUAGGAAGUCCAUGGUACCAAAAUAUCUGUUGUACCCCCCUGUGCCCCCCCCCAAAAAAAAAUAAUCUGGAUCCGCCCCUGAGCAUAUAUCUUCUCCCCAAAAACAAGACCAAGUGUCUUUAAGUGGACUACAGAAAUUAUCACAAGAACGCACUGUAAACUUAAACGUUUUUGCCGCCUUCUUUUUUUUUUGCUAUGAGCAUACCAUAGAAGUGUUAUUUUUAUACUUUUAUAGUGCUAAUGUUACUCCCUCUUCUGGAAAAGCUGAAGAAGUGCAACAGAAACAGGACUCGAGGUUUCAAUGGGGUUUGUAUUGCUGUAAACAGGUCCUCGAUGAAAACAUCGGGCAUUAAAGAAAACUUACAGUACAUUACAAGUCAUUUUAUGGCAUAAUGAGAAUAUAUAUCAGCAUUAAAAAUCCAAACAUGUACAAACUGAAGGCUGCUAACAUC
Long non-coding RNA from Acanthochromis polyacanthus (spiny chromis), 900 nucleotides. RefSeq lists it as uncharacterized. NCBI's taxonomy places the organism in Eukaryota, Metazoa, Chordata, Actinopteri, Pomacentridae. The transcript is spliced from 2 exons. The record is from RefSeq and is a predicted model, not a curated record.